Molecule: long non-coding RNA, 1040 nt
Organism: Nymphalis io (European peacock)
Lineage: Eukaryota; Metazoa; Arthropoda; Insecta; Lepidoptera; Nymphalidae
Exons: 3
Source: RefSeq, a predicted model, not a curated record
AAACAGUCGUGAAAUAUUAGAAAGAGAUAUACGACAUUGACCGUAAUAAUUAUAACAUUUCAAGAAUUAAAUCACGAAAGAAUCACGUGUGUGUACUGAAGUGAGUUCUUACAUAAUCCUUCAAUGCUGCCAAAUGGUACUGGCUAAUGCGAAAUAGGCCAUGAUAAAUGAACCCUAUUCCCAUUUUUUUUAUUAACCCAUAAAAUUAUGGCAUCCGCUGCGUUGGGUAUUGGAUUUAAACGAAAAUAGCUCCGUAAUAGUGAAACGAGAUGACAUAACGUCUUGUAACAGAUAAUAAAUUCUUGUAUCGUAGUGAGCCAUCUGUUUGAAUUUGUACAAACGAUAAAGUUUAUACGAAAUUUUUAGAUGAUUUCGAUCAAAGUUUUAAGAUGUCCCUGAGAAGGACGGCACCCAGGAUGGCCAGUGUCUGCCGUAAGAACAUGCGAGGCGUACGGAGGACCGAGCUUACCUUCGCCACCUUUGUAAAACUUCACCGAGCGACGAGCUGAGCACAGCACGAGAGGAGUCGCGGUUGCGUUAUAUCGACACGAUCCCGUGCCGAGGACGAAUAUCACAGUGCGUUUUGUGGGUAAAAAUAUCACAUAACCCGGUUUCCACCCCCAAGGGAGCCGGAUAACUUUCUGAAGGUAAAAAAGGCAGUCUGACAAAUGGACUACCUGAUGUUAUGUCUACAUGUUAUAGAAAUAUUAAUCCUGAGUAACAAUGCCACUAACUUUGGGAAGAAGUAAGGUCUCAUAUACCUUGUGCCAGUAGUUAAACUGGAGAACUCACCCUUCCAAUCAGAACUUAACAUUACUGAGUAUUGCUGCUUGACGGUAGAAUAUGUGAUGAAUGGUGGUUCAUACCCAGGCAGGCUUGCACAAACCUCUAACACCAAGUAAUAUAUGUAAGUAUACCCUUCAUAUCAUACGUAGGUAUCAGAUAUAUAACUAAUUGCGCUGUGGCGUUGCAACUUCAAACGGUCUGUGGCGGGUCAAGGAAUCUCGCAUAACGUUAUUAUUAAAAAAGUUAUGCACACA